This 254-nucleotide ribosomal RNA is filed under the name uncultured bacterium. Its description in RNAcentral is "partial 16S ribosomal RNA". It matches the Rfam family "Bacterial small subunit ribosomal RNA", at positions 524 to 776 of the family's 1533-position model. The record is from RNAcentral.
GACAGAGGGUGCAAACGUUGUUCGGAAUUACUGGGCGUAAAGGGCGCGUAGGCGGUCGUGACAAGUCACUUGUGAAAUCUCCGGGCUUAACUCGGAACGGUCAAGUGAUACUGUCGGACUAGAGUACAGAAGGGGCAACUGGAAUUCUCGGUGUAGCGGUGAAAUGCGUAGAUAUCGAGAGGAACACCUGCGGCGAAGGCGGGUUGCUGGGCUGAUACUGACGCUGAGGCGCGAAAGCCAGGGGAGCGAACGGG